AGAGAGGGUCUGGAGCUCAGGGAUAAUGGCCCACCUCGCUGGCCCCACGCAGCCAGCGACUAAAGGCCUGGCCUGGGUGUCCCUGCUGCCAGGAACAGCCUUUGGCAAGCACUUAUUUUUCUUAUUUUACUUAUUAUUCAGGAGGUACUUUUAUCUUUGUGUGCUCAUUAAUCUUCACAAUCACACCUACAAAGAUAUUAUUAUUUUCAUUUGAAGAUGGGGAACAAGUCAGAGAAGAAUUAAAUGACUUGUCCAAGAUCACAGAGCUGGUGAAUGUGGAGCCAGGAUUAACCCAGGCAGAUAUGUUCCACAGCCUUUGCCCUUAGUCAGGGACACAAAAACCUGGAAGAGAGAUUAAGCCCCCAGCUUUCCAUACCAGGCACCACCACAGCUUACCUCCAAUGCAGCCUCUUUUGGCCCCAGCCCCUGGGCCACAGGCAGUCUCUGCAGUGACCCUCCAAACCUGCGCAGCAGAGGGACGGCACAGCCUCGGGAGUAUCCCCAGAGCCAUCCACCACGGACCCUCGUCCCGAAGACCCACCGUCUCCCAGGAGGUGCAGACCCCUCGGAAGGGUGGCUCAGGGUCCACAGAAGGGGCUACUGCCCUGCCUCCCGCCUACAUGUUUCCUGGACGCCUCACCGGCAGGCAGCACUCAGGAGGAAAGUUGCUCAGCUGGCCAGGCAGGUCUGCCUCAGCAGUAACAGGACACAGGAGGAAGCGCAGGGUGUGUUAACCCCUUCCUGCUGACCAGGCAGGCAGCACCUUCAGAGGUGAGAAGCCUGCCUGCCAGGGACAGAUCCAGGGCCAGUGCUGGGGACUCACCCCCACUCUGCAGUGAGUUAACCCUUCUUCUGCCUCCUCAGGGGAAACAGGGUGGGCAGGGGAGGCUCCAACACCCACUCCCCCCAACCCUUCCUCCUCUGGACCAGGACCACCAUUCCCUGGGGCUGGCCCUUUGGUGGACUACUGCCUUGUUUGGCUUUCCCUCUGGUCCCCGCGGCCACCCUGAAGGAGGCGUCAGGACUUUAGGCACAGCGCCCUCUCUGCGUCUCUGACUUGAGAUCAGGCUCAGAGUGCCCUGCUCUCUCCAAACCUGCCGUAUCUUGACUGGAGGACGCCUGAGGCCCAUGAGGUCCUCAUCAGAAGCACCAAAUGCAAAACCAGACCCCAUGGACCUUCACAAAUCUCAGUGAUGUUACCAGCAGCAAAUGGAACUUCUGAUUAAAUGUGAUCAAAUGCACAAUGCAAUCCCAGUUACUCAGCUGUCUGCACCAGAAGAAGACAAAGCAUUGCCAUUAGACUCCUUGACAUAUCUAACAUGGCUUUGUGGAUCUCUCUUCCAAAACCAACAACAGUGACAAAAAGAACAGAACACAACAUCUAGGUGAAUCCCUAAGGACCUACAGCUUAAGAACAUGUUUUAUGUUAUAAAUUCUCUCCAGUGUUUCAAAACCCUUACAGCUGCUGGGAAUUCACUCUACGUGGUGCUCACCCAAGGAACAGACCUCUCAAGACACACCAAAUACAGAGAAGAAGAGGGAGCAACAGAAGGGACAGGCUUGUGCUCUGUGCCCCCAGCAUCUAUUUCCAAAGAGCAGCCAGAAUGAUCUAAAGCAUGAAUCGGACUAUAUUCCUCUAUUCAAAACAGUGUGUCCUCACAAUGGCCUACAAAGCCCCACAUGACCCAGGAGUCUCUCUCCUGGUGGUCUCUGCCCUUCUGUCCUCUUGGCCCACUCCCUCCUCUACCCACGGCAUUCUCCUAGAUGUCCACAUGGCCACUCCUCACUUCUCUUCAAGUCUUUGUUCAACGUCACCUACCCCCACCUACCAACCACCUGCGCUUUCCCUACCCCCUAGCCCUGGUUGCUCUCUUUUUCCCAUAGUGCUCAUCACCUAACAUACCACAUCUGUUACUUAUUCAUGAGGUCUGUCUUGAAUCCUAGAAUGCCCUUCACAAGGGCAGCUUUGCUUCCAUCACAGAUGCAGGAGGCACUUACUGUUUGUGGGAUAAACAGAGUGAACCAGGAGGUGAGGGAGCAGAGGAAGGUAUGCAGGCAGGUGUGAGUGACGGGAGGGCUGAGUGCCAGGUUCUUGC
Odocoileus virginianus texanus is the source of this 2096-nucleotide long non-coding RNA. RefSeq lists it as uncharacterized. NCBI's taxonomy places the organism in Eukaryota, Metazoa, Chordata, Mammalia, Artiodactyla, Cervidae. The record is from RefSeq and is a predicted model, not a curated record.